AUCCACCCUCCACAGGAAAAUCCACUAAGCCUGAGCUAACAAAUGGUUAUGUCUCUGAUGUAAAAUUCUUGUAUAACAUUAAAGAGAAUAUGCAUUAUGGUUGUGCUUCUGGAUAUAAAACCACUGGAGGGAAGCAUGAAGAAGUGGUGCAGUGUCUUUCAGAUGGAUGAUCUUCUCAGCCAACCUGUAGGAAGGAGCAUGGUAGGUA
Molecule: long non-coding RNA, 208 nt
Filed under: Marmota monax (woodchuck)
Lineage: Eukaryota; Metazoa; Chordata; Mammalia; Rodentia; Sciuridae
Source: RNAcentral